GAAAUACAUGUCAAGCCCAUUGCUCCCUGGGAAAGUCACCCUGCCCUAUUCCGGGGAAUAAGUAUUUAAUGACCUUCAAAAAGUUAAAGCUUUAUAACCGCGAAAGCCCCAAGCUGUCUUCAGCAUCGGUCAAAAAUAUUACCGAGUAAAUAUCCUCAAUCCUACUCUCAACAGAUUGUAAGAGCAUGCAUCCUGCUGGAGAAUUUCUUCAUGGUUGACUGAAGAAUAUUGACUUUAGAAUAUAAACUUUAGUUUAGGUCUGUCAAUUUCUACUGUUGAUGGAAAUAUUUGGUCAUUGGUAUGCGUGAGUGCAGCGAAUGGACGUUUACUAAUAUUUCCCUAUUCAAAUUUAAUCCUUCCCAGCCCAUAAAUCGAUUAGAAAGAUGGAAGAAUGGACCAUUCUUGGUUGUAGGAUAAGUGUGAUCAGUGGAUCCAACCAAUGAAAGAAUGGAUUGUUGACGGUUGUAAUAGACGUGUGAUCAAUGGAUCCAACCAAUGGAAAAAGGGAUCACUGAUGGUUGUAGCAGAAGUGUGAUCAGUGGAUCCAACUGAUGAAAGAAUGGAUCACUGAUGGCUGUAAGAGAAUGUGAUCAAUGGAUCUGACCGACAGAAGAAUGGAUCAUUGAUGGUUGUAACAGAAAUGUGAUCAUUGGAUCCAAUCAAUGGAA
This is a non-coding RNA of Chelonoidis abingdonii (Abingdon island giant tortoise), 668 nucleotides long. NCBI's taxonomy places the organism in Eukaryota, Metazoa, Chordata, Testudines, Testudinidae. The record is from RefSeq and is a predicted model, not a curated record.